Molecule: ribosomal RNA, 268 nt
Filed under: Salmonella enterica
Lineage: Bacteria; Pseudomonadati; Pseudomonadota; Gammaproteobacteria; Enterobacterales; Enterobacteriaceae
Also listed under: 3 other names
Description: partial 23S ribosomal RNA
Rfam family: Bacterial large subunit ribosomal RNA
Source: RNAcentral
GGCGAGGGGAGUGAAAAAGAACCUGAAACCGUGUACGUACAAGCAGUGGGAGCACAGGUUUACCUGUGUGACUGCGUACCUUUUGUAUAAUGGGUCAGCGACUUAUAUUCUGUAGCAAGGUUAACCGAAUAGGGGAGCCGGAGGGAAACCGAGUCUUAACUGGGCGUUAAGUUGCAGGGUAUAGACCCGAAACCCGGUGAUCUAGCCAUGGGCAGGUUGAAGGUUGGGUAACACUAACUGGAGGACCGAACCGACUAAUGUUGAAAAA